AAAAAGAGGAAUAAAUACUUUGAGAAAACAAAGUAUAUAAAAAGGCCAAAUUAACUGGACUUAAAACAUAACGGGUUAUAACUUCCCGAACCCGUUAAAGUAACUAGGAGUAAUUAACCUAGUUAGUAACAUGUGACUAAAUAAAUAAUGAAUUAUAGUUUCAUUUGAUCAAAAUAAAAACAUGAGGGACUAAAAAGGGGCAAUUGUGAAAGUUGUAUGAUUAAAACAAAAAUAAACCACACCAAACACACAAUUAGUGUGUGUCUGGUCGAUGUUAAACACAGGGGGCGACCAGGUUUCUCCAUCAAACCCCAAAUCUCCCAAAAUUCACAAACUGAAGCCUCUAAUCUGCUCCAAAUCAAGUUUCAAGCAUGAAUUAGUGAUCAUCUCGUUGCGGGGAUCAAAAGUUUGACGCGUAACAAGCUAGGUGGAAGCUUGAUGAGGGAGCGGGUCAAACGAAUCAAGAAGGAAAGGAAAAAGCAUAGUUCGGACACGAGGAAAUAAAUAGCACAUGGAUGCUUACAUCGCUAUCGCUUAGCAGCCACUAAGGAAAUGUAUUGAAACGGGUCAAUAUAUUGAUUCGAGCCAGGUAUGUAUAAUAAUACAACUCAUCAUGUAGAGCUUGGAGUUUUAUAAUAGUUAGACGAGGUUAAAAUAAGAUAUCCGGUUAUCUUUUAGGUAAACCGAAUAAGUUGAGUUAUGAUUAAGGUGUUUUAGAAACAUAUUGGUUUCUAAACAAGAAUAUGGUUAAAGGGUCGGAUUUGGGGUUCAAACAAGCACUAAUAGUCCUUCGUUGUAAAAGAAUGACUAAAAUUGACUAAAACGCCCUAGUUGGCUAAUUCGAAUGAACAACCUUUAAAGGUAGUUUUGAAACGAGUUUUAUGAUUAAAUAAAAAAUUGAAAUAAGUGCAAGAAGCGAAAGAUGUAAACUUUCGGUCAAAUAACUCUAUAUGAGUCUUUGCCGUAAAUUAGCAAUCGGACGAGAAAAACUCGGAUUAUAUAGAUCAUCUCAUUAAGUCCCCCACAAUUAUAGUUGUGGUGGAAGAUUACUUAAUAAGAAUGUUGUAUAUAACGCUAGAAGUGAAUGAAAGCGACUUUAAGCUUUAAAGUGCUUAAAUACCCUUAACGGGUCAAAAUAAGCACUUGAACGUAAACGGGUUCUAACUAAGUAAGAAACCCAUGAUCUAUGAAUUAUUUGAUAGGAAAUAUUGAAAUUAUGAUUCCAUGAGUUUAUGGAUCAAGUAAACAUGUUUGUGUGAUAAAAUCGCGAACGGGUCAAAAUUUGGUAAAAAUGGUAAUAAGCCGAAGACUUAAAAGUCUUAAAUUUUUGUUAAUCCGGAUGUCGGAUUUUAACUCCAUAUGAUGGAGAAUUAAAUUACGGACGCGUAGGAAAAAGAAUCGUGUAAAACGGAUUAAAAACGAGAGAGUUAUGUCCGUUUCGGUAAGAACUAAUGAAAAAUAGACGUGCAGAGUUGACACGGGCGGGUGACUUUUGACACGGCCGGGUGGCUGGGCUGUGAAAAAUAUAUGUUAACUGACACGGCCGGGUGACCUUUUGACACGGCCGGGUGAAGGGGCUGAAAACAAAACAAAAAUAAUUUCUUGUUUUGUUACGUUAAGCACGGAACUUGUUUAUACUCGAUUAUUAAAGUGUCAAAACUAAUUAUUUACAUGGUUUUGACCGUAGGUGAAGAUGGGAUAAGCGGUUUGAAAGAUACGAAAGUUUUCGUGCAAAUAAACGGCAAAAUAGGAAAGCUGGAAUGCAGGGGCCACCGUAACUUACGGUGCCACCGUAAGUUACGGUGGAGCUGAAGGCUUUACGGCAGCCCCCUACUGAUUUACGGUUCUUUUUGGAUGCCGGAAGACGAUCAAGCCCAUCGAAGGACCGAACACGAUAAAGAUACAUGCUUCCGCACAUUUCCUCGUCGUAAAUUUUUAAACGACAAAUUCGAUCACUUAUGUUGAGUAACUUAUGAUUUGUAAAAGUUUUAAUAAACUCGUAUUUUCAUAG
This is a long non-coding RNA of Helianthus annuus (common sunflower), 2011 nucleotides long. RefSeq lists it as uncharacterized. The record is from RefSeq and is a predicted model, not a curated record. The transcript has 4 exons. NCBI's taxonomy places the organism in Eukaryota, Viridiplantae, Streptophyta, Magnoliopsida, Asterales, Asteraceae.